RNAcentral lists this ribosomal RNA (393 nucleotides) under uncultured bacterium. RNAcentral's name for it is "partial 16S ribosomal RNA". It matches the Rfam family "Bacterial small subunit ribosomal RNA", at positions 523 to 918 of the family's 1533-position model. The record is from RNAcentral.
AUACGGAGGAUCCGAGCGUUAUCCGGAUUUAUUAGGUUUAAAGGGUGCGUAGGCGGCCUUUUAAGUCAGCGGUGAAAGUCUGUGGCUCAACCAUAGAAUUGCCGUUGAAACUGGGAGGCUUGAGUAUGUUUGAGGCAGGCGGAAUGCGUGGUGUAGCGGUGAAAUGCUUAGAUAUCACGCAGAACCCCGAUUGCGAAGGCAGCCUCCCAAGCCAUGACUGACGCUGAUGCACGAAAGCGUGGGGAUCAAACAGGAUUAGAUACCCUGGUAGUCCACGCAGUAAACGAUGAUCACUAGCUGUUUGCGAUACAGUGUAAGCGGCACAGCGAAAGCGUUAAGUGAUCCACCUGGGGAGUACGCCGGCAACGGUGAAACUCAAAGGAAUUGACGGGG